UGAGGAAUAUUGGUCAAUGGGCGCGAGCCUGAACCAGCCAAGUAGCGUGCAGGAUGACGGCCCUAUGGGUUGUAAACUGCUUUUGUAUGGGGAUAAAGUCAAUCACGUGUGAUUGUUUGCAGGUACCAUACGAAUAAGGACCGGCUAAUUCCGUGCCAGCAGCCGCGGUAAUACGGAAGGUCCGGGCGUUAUCCGGAUUUAUUGGGUUUAAAGGGAGCGUAGGCCGGAGAUUAAGUGUGUUGUGAAAUGUAGACGCUCAACGUCUGACUUGCAGCGCAUACUGGUUUCCUUGAGUACGCACAACGUUGGCGGAAUUCGUCGUGUAGCGGUGAAAUGCUUAGAUAUGACGAAGAACUCCGAUUGCGAAGGCAGCUGACGGGAGCGCAACUGACGCUUAAGCUCGAAGGUGCGGGUAUCGAACAGGAUUAGAUACCCUGGUAGUCCGCACAGUAAACGAUGGAUGCCCGCUGUUGGUACCUGGUAUCAGCGGCUAAGCGAAAGCAUUAAGCAUCCCACCUGGGGAGUACGCCGGCNACGGUG
Molecule: ribosomal RNA, 540 nt
Filed under: uncultured bacterium
Lineage: Bacteria
Description: bacterial SSU rRNA
Rfam family: Bacterial small subunit ribosomal RNA
Source: RNAcentral